GCCCUGCCGGUGCCAUCCUGCAGGACCGCCCGGCGCGGCCGAGUCUGGGCCGGCGGCGGCUGGGAAGCCAGGAGCGUUCUUAUCGGGCCUCGGACGACUUUACAAGCUAUUUCAAUGCCAUAAAAGUUUAUAGCCCUGCUUUAACUAGGGAGACUACAGUCGUGUACCGGAAACAAUUAGGGAAUAAAAUGAGGGAUAAUUAAAUGCCAAAAUUUGGGCCGCAGGUUUCACAAGUGCUGUAGGAAUUCGGGUGGAGGUUGACACUGCAAACGCACGUGAUCGCAGUCUUUCUGGCUAGGGGCAGAAACUGUGGCUUAUUCAUCCUUGUCUCACCUAUACCUUGCCCAAUGCCUGCUUCAGAAUAGACUCUGACUAUAAAAUAGGAUGAUACCUCCUUGGGUUAUGAUGAAGAUUAAGAAAGUUAAUAUAGGAAAACACUUUCUAAAGUUCCUAAUACUUUGAAACUAGACGUAUUUACCUCAAACCAACUCGACACGUUCCCAUGUAGUCUGCUCCCCUGAUGGGGUCCCCAGGGUUCUGGAGGCUGGGAAGUCCAAGAUCAAGGCAGAUCCAGUGACUGGUAGCAGCUUUAUUAGUCUGUACUGGGGCACCAUAAUGCAGACAAGAAACACUUUGAAAUCUUUAAUGCUCCUGGUGAGAUGAGGAACAGCUCUGUGGCAUUGCCAGCGGCAGAGGAUAUCCAGUCCUUCCACAAAACAUACAACCAAAAACAAGGAAGGAAGAAAAGCCAAAGCCUAGGCAAGCUCACUGACGCCGCUCUCUGGCUGCCUUCCGUGUCCUCCUCUCCAACGGGUGUUCCGGCCCUUUCUCGUGCUGGAGUGGCCAGAUCUACGACUUCAGUUUGAACUUGGGGAGAAGUAGGUGGGAUCUCUGGCUUGCUUUGGCAUGAGACCCAGUUAGUAACAGAGUCCUUCCAGCUUUAAGCUCAGCUCAGUAGACCUCUCUCUGUGUUUGGGGAGACUCUCCAGGUAAUAAUAAAGGAUUAUUUUACCGUG
This 1016-nucleotide long non-coding RNA is filed under the name Equus asinus (donkey). Its description in RNAcentral is "lncRNA (ENSEASG00005029140.1)". The record is from RNAcentral. Lineage: Eukaryota; Metazoa; Chordata; Mammalia; Perissodactyla; Equidae.